GUUGAAACACCGAUUCCCGUCUGAUCACCGAAGUUAAACAAAAUCGAACCUCGUCAGUGCCUUGAUGGGUGACCGCCUGGAAAUAGUAGGUGUUGCAAG
Acanthosepion pharaonis is the source of this 99-nucleotide non-coding RNA. The record is from the annotation of a GenBank genome assembly. Lineage: Eukaryota; Metazoa; Mollusca; Cephalopoda; Sepiida; Sepiidae.